GUGUCUAUAUAUGAAGGAGACAAAAGAGAUUGUCGCAAAUUCUGCACUACAGGAAUUGACGGAGCAAUGACCAUAUGGGAUUUCAAGACCUUAGAGUCUUCAAUCCAAGGCCUGCGGAUCAUGUAAAACUUACACAAACUAGCAUGACACAGCACAAGCAAUGCAGCUCGAAGACUAACAAGGAGAUUUCCGAUAACACUUCUGAAGGUUUUUAAGUAAAAAAAAAAAAAAAAAGAACUGAGCAGGGGGG
Long non-coding RNA from Sinocyclocheilus rhinocerous, 250 nucleotides. RefSeq lists it as uncharacterized. NCBI's taxonomy places the organism in Eukaryota, Metazoa, Chordata, Actinopteri, Cypriniformes, Cyprinidae. The transcript is spliced from 2 exons. The record is from RefSeq and is a predicted model, not a curated record.